RNAcentral lists this ribosomal RNA (253 nucleotides) under uncultured bacterium. RNAcentral describes it as "partial 16S ribosomal RNA". It matches the Rfam family "Bacterial small subunit ribosomal RNA", at positions 524 to 776 of the family's 1533-position model. The record is from RNAcentral.
UACGGAGGGAGCUAGCGUUGUUCGGAUAUACUGGGCGUAAAGCGCACGUAGGCGGAUUGUUAAGUCGGGGGUGAAAUCCUGGAGCUCAACUCCAGAACUGCCUUCGAUACUGGCGAUCUUGAGUCCGGGAGAGGUGAGUGGAACUCCGAGUGUAGAGGUGAAAUUCGUAGAUAUUCGGAAGAACACCUAUGGCGAAGGCAGCUCGCUGGGACGUUACUGACGCUGAGACGCGAAAGCGUGGGGAGCAAACAGG